AAGCUGAACCUCAUCUGCAAAAUGCUGAGGAAGCCAAGGGGAGGCAGACAGUGGAGCAUAACUGAAAGACCAAGCAAGCAGCGGAGAAAGGAAAAGAAGGUAUUUCGUCUCGAGAGAAAAGUAAAAGUAACCAAGACAGACAACAAAAAUGUUUAUACACUCAAAAAGCUGGAAGAAAAGAUUACAAAAGUGUUCACUAUAAACUUUGUGGGAGAAGUGCUGGGAUGGAAGUGCUACACCACUGAGCUACACCAUCACCCCCAAUGCAGUAGCUAAGCCACCGGUACAGGUAUGAGUACCAGGACCAUCAGCUCUGCCAGAAGCCAACAUUAACUUCCAGAGUCACGCCCUGAACAGUAUGGGAAUCAUCUCUCAGACUGCCCAACUUCCCUAGGCACCCUCUCCACACAGCCCACCCUAAACCACAACCUCACCCAGGCCAGCCCAGACACCACACAAAAGCCAGAGUAUUCGCAGAUAAUUUAUUCAGAAUUUUAAUAUAAACAAGUAAUUAUCCCAUAUUUUACAUGCACAAAAAAUUUCAAUCCCCCUCCCUCUAAAAAAGGCAUAGUCUGUACAUGGUGCUACUUGGCUCUUGUAGGAAAACAUUGAAAAAUAGUAAUAAUGGAGCUUUGGGUGGGCUUUGUGUUUCUGAAUUAUUUUUCUGCAAAAGCUGCGGCACAUUGGAUCCCGCGCUGCUGACACGCAGGGCUGAGGCCACCCACGCACACAAAAGGGCAAAGAGCAGCAACUUUGACACAACGUGUGAAGACCACACAAGCCAUUCCUGAAUAUAUGCAUCUAUGCACACUCAUCUGGGAGCUAUCCCUUCCUUCUCCACAGGGACCAAGAGCCCUAGAUUCGUGAUCUGGUUUUUAUCAAGGAUUUUGGUGGCCCAUGCUGAGAUAAAAUUUGGCUGGAGCCUGGUUCUGGAUUUUGAUGAUUAGCAGAAAGUGACAAUAAACUAAAAAAAAAAAAAAAUCAUUACAUCUCCCCAUGUGUUAGGGACCCCUGAAGACACAUUUGCCUUCUGUCACAACUCCUCAUAUUUUUGUGUGUUUUCUAAACAAUUAUCGGUCUGUUCUUCCAUUUUCCAAUCUCACCUCUGCUGCAAAUCAGCAUUCUGAAAUGGUGCUAUUCUUUGUGCACCCGUUAUAUAAAAAUCAGCAUUCCUCUUUCCCCAAUACCAACAAAUCCGUAAUUGCUAAAGAGCCUAAGUAUCAAGGACUCACCAGAUGGUACCCAUAUACACUGAACCCCAAAGUUCUACCCACCAUGCAGCAGAAGAGUAACUCUUGUUGGGACUAUGGUACAUCCAUUCAUUUGCCAGGGUGGCCAGCACAGGCUGGGUCCUUAUGAUGAAACUGGCCAGUGUCCAGUGUCACAAAGGGAUGAAAUAAACAGCACCCAACCUAAUACAUGCAUCUCACAGUGCCCUGGCAGGACAGAGCAGAAGAUCUGUCCAUCGGCUGGUGGCAGAAUUCCCAGCAGCCACAGCAUUUUACAUGCAGACCCUUGCAACGGUUCCCACCUGUUCAGUCAGUUGUGCCCAGCCUGUAUCCAGAGAACCAGCAAUGCUUCCCCUUUGUACUAACUUCAAAUGACCGGACAGCACCUAGGACAGCUGCCCCCAAAAUGAGUAUUUCCUAGUAUUGGAUGACAUCACUGAUCCAUGGAGAAAAGCAAUGUCUGGCAUUCUUCUCCCAGAAGAAGAAACUACUACAUCAUGGGUCUCACGUUAAGGGAAAAUGUUUUAUAGGAGUGAGCCUUCUUUAAAAAACCAACAGGAAAUGUCAACCUAAUCUGAUCUUGUUGCUUUUUUUUUUUUUUUUUGUAACCCCUUACACAAACUCCCAAGAAACCUGUGCCUUUCUACAGCCAAAGUUCUGUUGUUUCCAAAACGAACAAUUCCUGACGCUAAAAGGAAAUGCGUUGUCCUUCAACUGCUUGGUCUUUUCCAUGCAGUAGUAGACGUCCGAGUGUAAUCAGUGAAGCCCCAUCUGCACAGGGUGGGACCAGCGCACCACUACUCUCCAGGGCAGCUGAAGAAGGGUGAGCCUGAAGGGCAGCGU
Molecule: long non-coding RNA, 2072 nt
Organism: Cavia porcellus (domestic guinea pig)
Lineage: Eukaryota; Metazoa; Chordata; Mammalia; Rodentia; Caviidae
Exons: 3
Source: RefSeq, a predicted model, not a curated record